Molecule: long non-coding RNA, 918 nt
Filed under: Toxoplasma gondii VEG
Lineage: Eukaryota; Apicomplexa; Conoidasida; Eucoccidiorida; Sarcocystidae
Source: RNAcentral
ACACCGUCUGGCCACCUUCCUGAAAGCACUCCACUUGUGUCUUUGCCACUCAAAAAAUGCUAACUCCAGAGAUCUGCAGCUGCCACCCAGACUCCGGUCGCCGGCCUUCACACUAUCGCGCAGCGGCCCGUAUCCCCGGAAUCGCUUGCGACAGCGGGCACUACAGAUGCAACUCCCCCCGCUCCAAACACAACCAACCUCACAGGGAGACCAUCGACGUCGACCAGUAUGCCUGGUGUACACCCGUCUAUACAGGCUCGUUCUCCAGAUUCUGGAGGAUGGCCUGUGUCGUGCGCCGCAACAAGAACACCGUUGAUUUCCUGUUCCUUGGAUGUAAGCUGACCUGAUGGUUGACUGUGUCUGGGCUUCCACUCCACAAGAUAGCGCCUGCAUGUUCCUCGACUCUUUGUCUGCACAUCAUACGGUGUUCGCCCCUCGAUUUUGGACUGCUGGAAGACGUUUCCGGAGACUGCCUGGAAAAGCCGACCUUAUGAACGCCGGUCUUGAACAGCAGACGACGUGACGAAGCGCCUGAUGUCAUCGCGUUUCGACGUCAGAGGGGCCGGUUCUGCAGCCACUAUUGCGAAGAUAUCAAUGAUACAAAGCACGGUUUCGCACAUGCCAUUGCUCUUGAAGUCGUGCUCUAAGGAAUGGGCCAGUGAACCGUCAACGUCGAGUAUCGUUUAUUCGAAAGAGAACAUUUUAAUAGGCUGGUACCGGUCUGUUUUUCCAGUUCGUGAAGAGUCAGUUGUCGCCGUGAUCCCAGGAUCCAUGCGCUGGUGCUUCACGACCCGGGGGAACAGCUGUCAGGACUGGCGUACGGGAAUCGCCUGCCACGUGCAUGUGCGCUUCAGAAGCAAAUCAUGUUUACGCGCGUGAGUUGGAGAGUUCGAGUCGAAAGAAGCACCCCCACUGUUU